AACGAACGCUAGCGGCGUGCCUAACACAUGCAAGUCGCACGAGAAAUCCCGGGCAACUGGGAGAGUAAAGUGGCGCACGGGUGAGUAGCGCGUGGGUAAUCUACCCUGAAGUUGGGAAUAACACCUCGAAAGGGGUGCUAAUACCGAAUGAUAUCCCCGGGAUUUCGGUCUUGGGGAUCAAAGAUGGCUGAGGCUUGCAAGCUAUUGCUUUAGGAUGAGCCCGCGUACCAUUAGCUAGUUGGUGGGGUAACGGCCCACCAAGGCCAUGAUGGUUAGCUGGUCUGAGAGGAUGGCCAGCCACACUGGAACUGAGAUACGGUCCAGACUCCUACGGGUGGCAG
Molecule: ribosomal RNA, 341 nt
Filed under: uncultured Chloroflexota bacterium
Lineage: Bacteria; Bacillati; Chloroflexota
Description: bacterial SSU rRNA
Rfam family: Bacterial small subunit ribosomal RNA
Source: RNAcentral